GAGGGUAUAGCUCAGUGGGAGAGCAUAUGCCCAGCAUGCAUGAGGUCCUGGGUUCAAUCCCCAUUAGCUCCA
RNAcentral lists this transfer RNA (72 nucleotides) under Camelus dromedarius (Arabian camel). It matches the Rfam family "tRNA". Rfam says of the family: Transfer RNA (tRNA) molecules are approximately 80 nucleotides in length. RNAcentral also lists the same sequence under 1 other name. The record is from Rfam by way of RNAcentral. Lineage: Eukaryota; Metazoa; Chordata; Mammalia; Artiodactyla; Camelidae.